This 59-nucleotide transfer RNA is filed under the name Uloma sp. BMNH 1425257. Its description in RNAcentral is "tRNA-Ser". Lineage: Eukaryota; Metazoa; Arthropoda; Insecta; Coleoptera; Tenebrionidae. The record is from RNAcentral.
GAAAUAUAAAAAAGUAAGCUUCUAACUUAACUAAAAAGCAUUAACAUGUUUGUAUUUCU